UGUGUGUGUGUGUGUGUGUGUGUGUGUGUGUGUGUGUGUGUGUGUGUGUGUAGUAGUGAAAAGGCAGACUGUGUUGUACCCUGUGUCCUCUCUGAAGGGGUUAUUGUGAAGGCUCUAGCCUGCUGCUUCUGAUGCUGCUCCCUCUGAGGAAGAGCAUCCUGAAAAACAUGACCAUGAUCUCCUUUUACUGGGACACUCACAUCUCAACCUCCACAUACCAGUCAAAGACACUUCUGCCCAAAUGCAAAAAGAGUCUGGUAAGCUAACGCCUCAAACUGUGGUCAGAGGGAGCUGGGGUGCAGACAGCAGACAACAGAUGGUUGGGGGUGGAAGUAGAGGUGUUUGGGGUGGAGAGGACGGUGGACUCAGUGGACGACAUCCCAGCCAUUUACCUGAUGGGUAAGUUGACAUCACUUCUACUUAUACAAUCAACCAAACAAAUUUCAAUGGCUUUUUUUCCCCACCAGCAGAUGUCACAAAGUGCUUUUACAGUAACCCGGCCUACACCAGGGGAACCCGGGACAUACAGGGCACCACUGUUCCUGCCUCUCUUUCUCCCUGUGUGAUGACAUAUCCUGUUUAGGCACCUGGCCAGCUGAGUGCAGCUGGCUCUCCCGUCAACAUGAGGAUCCUGCUGCUCCAGCCCCAAAAACACAUUGGCACACAGACACACACACGCACACUAUUAGGAAUGCUAGCCUAUUUAAAUGUUUGUGUGUUGUGUGUCAGAGUUAAGGGAUAGUAAGACAGUGUUUGAGAAGAGGUGUCUGGUGUGGGAGGAGGACAUGGAGAUGCACUCCAAGUUUCUGGACAGAAAGGAAGAGUUGAAGGCGGAGCAUGCCUUGUACCUGCAGCAGCACCUGGAGCUCCUUGCCAUGAUGGCCAACUUCUUGCAGUUCCUUUCACCACGAAAACUGAGCAAUGUCUUGUUUGCCCUUGGACUUCUCCCCCUUCUCCUCCCACUUACAUCCAGGUGGCACAUUCAACACCUCUCCUUGUCAACACACUGGCUGGGUCUCAAUAGUCUGUUAGCUUCCUCUCACAGGCGCUAUAGUGAGGACAAUACUCUUGUCAUUAUUAUGAACAUGAGGCCCUCCAUCAUCAAAUAUUAAUGCUUUAAUGGAAGUUUUGUAUUUUAAUUGUGAGAAAUGUUUUACCGUUAUUGUUUGACUGAGCUUCACUGAAAACAAUUCCAAUCAACUCUGUUGAUAUGGCAAUGCAAGAGUUAGUUACAGUGUGUCUUAUACAUUUUCCAUGGUUGAUUUCUGUUAUGAACUUUGUGGUAAUUUUAGUAACUGCUACUUUGCUUUUGCUCUGAUGUGAUCACCCAAUACAUUUGUAAGAAUAAAGUU
Long non-coding RNA from Oncorhynchus tshawytscha (Chinook salmon), 1352 nucleotides. RefSeq lists it as uncharacterized. The record is from RefSeq and is a predicted model, not a curated record. The transcript has 3 exons. NCBI's taxonomy places the organism in Eukaryota, Metazoa, Chordata, Actinopteri, Salmoniformes, Salmonidae.